ACGAACGCUGGCGGCUUGCUUAACACAUUCAAGUCUAACGGUAAGGUCCUUUCUGGGGUUCACGAGUGGCGAACGGGUGAGUAACACUUUGGUGAUCUGCCCUGCACUAUGGGAUAAGCCUGUGGAACUUGGUCUAAUACCGGAUAGGACUACGCGAUGCAUGUCGUGAGGUGGGAAGCUGUUGCGGUGUGGGAUGGGCCCGCUGCCUAUCAGCUUGUUGGUGGGGUGAUGGCCUACCCAGGCGACGACGGGAAGCCGGCCUGAGAGGGUGUCAGGCCACACUGGGACUGAGAUACGGCCCAGACUCCUACGGGAGGCAGAAGUGGGGAAUAUUGCACAAUGGGCGCAAGCCUGAUGCAGCGACGCAGCGUGGGGGAUGACGGCCUUCGGGUUGUAAACCCCUUUCAGCACAGACGAAGCGUAAGUGACGGUAUGUGCAGAAGAAGCACCGGCAAACUACGUG
This 463-nucleotide ribosomal RNA is filed under the name uncultured bacterium. RNAcentral's name for it is "partial 16S ribosomal RNA". It matches the Rfam family "Bacterial small subunit ribosomal RNA", at positions 29 to 507 of the family's 1533-position model. The record is from RNAcentral.